AGCCAUAUCACAUUGAAACACUGGUUCCUAUACAAUCACCAAAGUUAAGCAAUGUCAAGCCUGAUCAAUACCUAGAUGGGUGACCAUUUAGGAAUACCAGGUGCUGUAAG
RNAcentral lists this ribosomal RNA (110 nucleotides) under Acanthosepion pharaonis. The record is from RNAcentral. Lineage: Eukaryota; Metazoa; Mollusca; Cephalopoda; Sepiida; Sepiidae.